AUGACUAAAAUAAAAAAGUUAUUUUUAUAAAAAUAAUUUUUUAAUUCGAUUGUUUGGUUGAGUAUAAAGUGAAAGAUAAAAAAACUAUAGUUUUGAAAUUUUAUAUUUUAAUUAUAUAUAAAGACGUUAAAAUAUAAAUAAACGAUUUAUAUUUGUCAUUUAAAUUAAUAAUUUCAAUUUAAAUUUACAUUUAGAAUUCAAAAUUUUAUUUUAAAAUUUAAAUUUAAAUUGAAAUCUGAGUUGAAUUUAUAAUUAAAAUUUAAGACAUAAAUUAAAUUUAGAGGUUGAAUUUAAAUUUUAAU
This 302-nucleotide long non-coding RNA is filed under the name Ananas comosus (pineapple). Its description in RNAcentral is "long non-coding RNA (ACOM_LNC019600)". The record is from RNAcentral. Lineage: Eukaryota; Viridiplantae; Streptophyta; Magnoliopsida; Poales; Bromeliaceae.